Molecule: ribosomal RNA, 253 nt
Filed under: uncultured bacterium
Lineage: Bacteria
Description: partial 16S ribosomal RNA
Rfam family: Bacterial small subunit ribosomal RNA
Source: RNAcentral
UACAGGGGGGGCAAGCGUUGUUCGGAAUUACUGGGCGUAAAGGGUCAGUAGGCGGCCAACCAAGUCCGACGUGAAAUCCCAAAGCUUAACUUUGGAACUGCGUCGGAUACUGGAUGGCUUGAAUUCGGGAGAGGGAUGCAGAAUUCCAGGUGUAGCGGUGAAAUGCGUAGAUAUCUGGAGGAAUACCGGUGGCGAAGGCGGCAUCCUGGACCGACAUUGACGCUGAACGACGAAAGCUAGGGGAGCAAACGGG